RNAcentral lists this long non-coding RNA (276 nucleotides) under Vigna radiata. RNAcentral describes it as "long non-coding RNA (VRAD_LNC004389)". The record is from RNAcentral. Lineage: Eukaryota; Viridiplantae; Streptophyta; Magnoliopsida; Fabales; Fabaceae.
AUGAGUUAAAGCGAACAUGACAGAGUCACUAUUUUGAUUUUGUGGUUACUUGAUUGCAGGUUGAUGGUGCAUGAGGAAGAUGAUGGUGUUUCAGUACGAUUGGGUUCUAAUGUAAAGAUGUUGGAAUGAAAGCUAUUGCUGAAUUUAGGAUCUGAGUGAUGGACUGAGAAGAAGAUUUCUAGGUCUGGGUGGUGCUUUGACUAUAAUGGAAGAUGACUUCUUUUUUUUUUUAAUUCUUAAUCAAAAUGUUAAAAUGUUUUUAAAUUCCACGUAUAC